UACGUAGGGUCCAAGCGUUAUCCGGAAUCAUUGGGUUUAAAGGGUCCGUAGGCGGCCUUAUAAGUCAGUGGUGAAAUCUCCUAGCUCAACUAGGAAAUGGCCAUUGAUACUGUAGGGCUUGAAUUAUUGUGAAGUAACUAGAAUAUGUAGUGUAGCGGUGAAAUGCUUAGAUAUUACAUGGAAUACCAAUUGCGAAGGCAGGUUACUAACAAUAUAUUGACGCUGAUGGACGAAAGCGUGGGGAGCGAACAGG
RNAcentral lists this ribosomal RNA (253 nucleotides) under uncultured bacterium. RNAcentral's name for it is "partial 16S ribosomal RNA". It matches the Rfam family "Bacterial small subunit ribosomal RNA", at positions 524 to 776 of the family's 1533-position model. The record is from RNAcentral.